AAGACGCUAGUAAAACCAAUUACACUGCCUUGUCAAGGCAGAAUUGUGGGUUAAACCCCCGCGCAUCUUA
This 70-nucleotide transfer RNA is filed under the name Gastrodermus pygmaeus (pygmy corydoras). RNAcentral's name for it is "Corydoras pygmaeus (pygmy corydoras) tRNA-Asp". It matches the Rfam family "tRNA". Rfam says of the family: Transfer RNA (tRNA) molecules are approximately 80 nucleotides in length. Their secondary structure includes four short double-helical elements and three loops (D, anti-codon, and T loops). Further hydrogen bonds mediate the characteristic L-shaped molecular structure. tRNAs have two regions of fundamental functional importance: the anti-codon, which is responsible for specific mRNA codon recognition, and the 3' end, to which the tRNAs corresponding amino acid is attached (by aminoacyl-tRNA synthetases). tRNAs cope with the degeneracy of the genetic code in two manners: having more than one tRNA (with a specific anti-codon) for a particular amino acid; and 'wobble' base-pairing, i.e. permitting non-standard base-pairing at the 3rd anti-codon position. Lineage: Eukaryota; Metazoa; Chordata; Actinopteri; Siluriformes; Callichthyidae. The record is from RNAcentral.